This 253-nucleotide ribosomal RNA is filed under the name uncultured bacterium. RNAcentral describes it as "partial 16S ribosomal RNA". It matches the Rfam family "Bacterial small subunit ribosomal RNA", at positions 524 to 776 of the family's 1533-position model. The record is from RNAcentral.
UACGGAGGGGACUAGCGUUGUUCGGAAUUACUGGGCGUAAAGCGCACGUAGGCGGAUUUGUAAGUCAGGGGUGAAAUCCCGGGGCUCAACCUCGGAACUGCCUUUGAUACUGCAAAUCUCGAGUCCGGAAGAGGUGAGUGGAAUUCCUAGUGUAGAGGUGAAAUUCGUAGAUAUCGAGAGGAACACCGGUGGCGAAGGCGGCUUCCUGGACAGUUACUGACGCUGAGACGCGAAAGCGUGGGGAGCAAACAGG